Molecule: transfer RNA, 74 nt
Filed under: Caudoviricetes sp.
Lineage: Duplodnaviria; Heunggongvirae; Uroviricota; Caudoviricetes
Description: tRNA-Ile
Rfam family: tRNA
About the family: Transfer RNA (tRNA) molecules are approximately 80 nucleotides in length. Their secondary structure includes four short double-helical elements and three loops (D, anti-codon, and T loops).
Source: RNAcentral
CGGGCUGUAACUCAGCUGGUAAGAGUGCCAAUCUGAUACGUUGGAAGUCGCAGGUUCAAGUCCUGCCAGCCCGA